CUAAGGAUGGUUCUUCAGAAGCUUGCUUCUAUCGAACCGUUUUAGAAACAUCAGUGGCCAACGGUCGUCAGGAUCGUUGAGCUGCAUUGGCGGGAUUUCGCCGUCUUCGUUUCUCUUUCUUCGCGGACGAACACGCGCUGGGGCUGCAACCUUGCAGAAUCCCUGGUCCUUGACUGGAUAUGCGUUAGGGGCUUGUAGCUCAGUUGGUUAGAGCGCGCGCUUGAUAAGCGUGAGGUCGGAAGUUCAAGUCUUCCCAGGCCCACCACACUCAUCGAGUGAGCAUUCGUCUUCUGGUUACGGGGCCAUAGCUCAGCUGGGAGAGCGCGUGCUUUGCAAGCAUGAGGUCGUCGGUUCGAUCCCGUCUGGCUCCACCAGAUGGUUUGAUCACCGACUACUCAUACCGUCGUCCGCGAAACAUCACUUCGCACUUACUAGUCCGGAUGGACAGUAAGCUGCGUGAUUUCUGACAUCGUAAAGAGGAGAUCGAUCCGAGUUGGAUCGGGCAACAAGCAAUUGUUGCGCGAUACUUCAUUAUCUCCGGAUCAUUUCGGCGCUCGUGCGUCUUCCAGGGCAGCUCACAAGGCUGCAUCUGAAGACAAGCGAGUUGUAAAUGAUCCUUUUAGCGAAGCUUGACCGCCUCGCUAUCGGAACGAUCUUACGAAGCAAGCUGGUCUUUCUAAUCAUUGUCCGGCUGCAGAUAGCGUUCAUCGAGGGCGCGUGCCUUAGAGACUUAGGUUUCUUGGUAAUUCUGCAGACAACAUUCUGCCGAGUGUGUGGACAUUGAUAAUGAGAGC
Molecule: transfer RNA, 794 nt
Filed under: Bradyrhizobium japonicum
Lineage: Bacteria; Pseudomonadati; Pseudomonadota; Alphaproteobacteria; Hyphomicrobiales; Nitrobacteraceae
Description: 16S-23S ribosomal RNA intergenic spacer
Rfam family: tRNA (bases 189-262)
Source: RNAcentral